AGCWCGGCCCCCAACAUUGGGACUGAGAACUGCCCAAACUCCUACGGGAGGCUGCAGUCGAGAAUAUUCCACAAUGGACGAAAGUCUGAUGGAGCGACGCCGCGUGAGUGAUGAAGGCUUUCGGGUCGUAAAGCUCUGUCAGAGGGGAAGAAAUGAGUCGUGCUAAUAUCGCGACUUCUUGACGGUACCCUCAAAGGAAGCACCGGCUAACUCCGUGCCAGCAGCCGCGGUAAUACAAGG
This 240-nucleotide ribosomal RNA is filed under the name uncultured Geobacteraceae bacterium. Its description in RNAcentral is "partial 16S ribosomal RNA". It matches the Rfam family "Bacterial small subunit ribosomal RNA", at positions 297 to 530 of the family's 1533-position model. Lineage: Bacteria; Pseudomonadati; Thermodesulfobacteriota; Desulfuromonadia; Geobacterales; Geobacteraceae. The record is from RNAcentral.